UUUGAGACCUCAAUGAGAUGGUAAGUCAUGUAAGCCCACUUACUCUCUUGCUCACAGGAGCUUGGCAAGGCCCUCGAAAUCAGAUAAGAUUGGCCCUCCAACAUGUCUCCCGAAUUCAACCGGGAACAGCAGUAGAUUUAUCAACUCCGACUCCGACCAGCACAAAGGCCUCCUCUCUUCCGCACCAAAACGAAAUUCAAAAC
This is a long non-coding RNA of Telopea speciosissima, 203 nucleotides long. RefSeq lists it as uncharacterized. NCBI's taxonomy places the organism in Eukaryota, Viridiplantae, Streptophyta, Magnoliopsida, Proteales, Proteaceae. The transcript is spliced from 3 exons. The record is from RefSeq and is a predicted model, not a curated record.